CCUACGGGAGGCAGCAGUGGGGGAUAUUGCACAAUGGGGGGAACCCUGAUGCAGCGACGCCGCGUGGGUGAAGAAGCGCCUCGGCGCGUAAAGCCCUGUCAGCAGGGAAGAAAAUGACGGUACCUGAAGAAGAAGCCCCGGCUAACUACGUGCCAGCAGCCGCGGUAAUACGUAGGGGGCAAGCGUUAUCCGGAUUUACUGGUUGGAAAGGGGGCGCAGACGGCGAUGCAAGCCAGGAGUGAAAGCCCGGGGCCCAACCCCGGGACUGCUCUUGGAACUGCGUGGCUGGAGUGCAGGAGGGGCGGGCGGAAUUCCUGGUGUAGCGGUGAAAUGCGUAGAUAUCAGGAGGAACACCGGUGGCGAAGGCGGCCUGCUGGACUGCAACUGACGUUGAGGCCCGAAAGCGUGGGGAGCAAACAGGAUUAGAUACCCCUGUAGUC
RNAcentral lists this ribosomal RNA (440 nucleotides) under uncultured bacterium. RNAcentral's name for it is "partial 16S ribosomal RNA". It matches the Rfam family "Bacterial small subunit ribosomal RNA", at positions 338 to 795 of the family's 1533-position model. The record is from RNAcentral.